Sycon ciliatum is the source of this 898-nucleotide long non-coding RNA. RefSeq lists it as uncharacterized. The record is from RefSeq and is a predicted model, not a curated record. Lineage: Eukaryota; Metazoa; Porifera; Calcarea; Leucosolenida; Sycettidae. The transcript is spliced from 4 exons.
AGAGUUGCCACUGCUUGCUUAUAAGGGAAUCAUGUGUGUUGCCUUUUUGCCUUUUCCGACGUCCUCCUCCGACUGUACUCCCGAUCCCAGGACUGAACUUACGGGAAGGAGUGCUUCCAAGAUGGGAGACGAAGAAGAAGAAGCCGCUGAAUCCGGCGGCAAUGGCUGGGAUGCUGCGUUCUCGAGAGGAAGCGUUAUUUCUGCAUUCCAAGAAGGACGGCACAAUGUGUCGGACUGUCCGCGUCGCAUUGAACUGGUCCGAUGAGGCUGCUAUUGCACACACAGUGUGGGCACUCCCAUACGGGAACUCGGAAGUACUGCUACAGUACAGGUAUAUCACCCCGUGACGACCACAUCGAAGUCUGAAAUUGAAGUGUGAAGAUGCUUCAGCAACCCCUUCAUAUUUUUCCAUUGCUUUUAUUGUGCUUCUACUGUGCAUCUGUGUAACUUGUGGGGUAUGCAUGUGAUGACAAUGUAUGCCGGUGACACAGUCAGAUUUUGUCAAUGCGUGUAACGUACACCUGCAUGCUAUCGUUGAAAAGGAUCUGCCACUUACGAUCUUCGGACGAGUAUCAGGUCAGCUUGGUUUUGUGUGUGCUGUACCAGAUGCUGUUCACUUCUCUAUCUGUUGGAUAUGUGACUUUCUGCAAGUUUCUGGUGUAUGGUGGCCACUUCUUUGCUUGUCUUUAAAUGACAUUACCAUAAUUCUGUAUUCACUGCUUCCAUGGUGUGGUCUGCAAACUGCAAUCCUUAGGCAAAUAUCAUCACGGUUUGCAAUGUUGUGCUUUGGCCGCCAGCUUACCUACACAUUGUAGUUGAAUUAUUUUUGUUUCACAACUGACUUCCUGAAGUAUGGUGGCCACUGCUUUCCAUGGCAUUAUACAAUGUUCAUCAAGAA